UGACAAGAGUGCAGUAAACCAUAUCAAUCAAAUGGAAAAGAAUUGAGCUAAGCGAACUUUAUUUGUCAGAUUCAGCUUUUAGUGAGUAGACCCAUAACUUUUUCUUUGGCAUGAAAAAGAUACAAUAAUAUAUUCCUACAUUCCAUGUCCUGUGCAAGGUCAUCACGCAUAGUUGUUUUUGUCCCUGUUGCUCAAGACUAAAUAGCAUUUAAUUUGUGGAGUUUUGCUUUGUAUUAUGGCUAAUGUGUAGGGGUAUUUAGGUGUUUCAAUAGCUUGCUUCCCAUAUUAUACAAAUCUG
Molecule: non-coding RNA, 298 nt
Organism: Pelobates cultripes (western spadefoot toad)
Lineage: Eukaryota; Metazoa; Chordata; Amphibia; Anura; Pelobatidae
Source: the annotation of a GenBank genome assembly